GGGCGUAUGGUCUAGAGGUAUGAUACCUGCUUUGGGUAUAGAUUUACAUAUAUCCGGCUCAUUGCAGGGGGUCUUCGGUUCGAAUCCGGAUUCGCCCC
Gymnopus androsaceus JB14 is the source of this 98-nucleotide non-coding RNA. The record is from the annotation of a GenBank genome assembly. Lineage: Eukaryota; Fungi; Basidiomycota; Agaricomycetes; Agaricales; Omphalotaceae.